Molecule: long non-coding RNA, 105 nt
Organism: Ochotona curzoniae (black-lipped pika)
Lineage: Eukaryota; Metazoa; Chordata; Mammalia; Lagomorpha; Ochotonidae
Exons: 3
Source: RefSeq, a predicted model, not a curated record
AAGUCAGACUUAGAGAAGGAGAGACAGAAAGAACUUCCAUCUGCUGGUUCACUCUCCCAGGUGGCCGCAGUAACCGGAACUGAGCUGAUCAGGACUCCCACAUGG